RNAcentral lists this ribosomal RNA (133 nucleotides) under Salmonella enterica subsp. enterica serovar Kentucky. Its description in RNAcentral is "partial 23S ribosomal RNA". The stretch from base 1 to 115 matches the Rfam family "Bacterial large subunit ribosomal RNA", at positions 2800 to 2925 of the family's 2925-position model. The record is from RNAcentral. Lineage: Bacteria; Pseudomonadati; Pseudomonadota; Gammaproteobacteria; Enterobacterales; Enterobacteriaceae.
UGAGACUUAGAGUCUCCUGAAGGAACGUUGAAGACGACGACGUUGAUAGGCCGGGUGUGUAAGCGCAGCGAUGCGUUGAGCUAACCGGUACUAAUGAACCGUGAGGCUUAACCUUACAACGCCGAAGGUGUUU